AGAGUUUGAUCAUGGCUCAGGAUGAACGCUGGCGGCGUGCUUAACACAUGCAAGUCGAACGGACCUGAUCUUCGGAAAAGGUUAGUGGCGCACGGGUGAGUAACACGUAGGUGACCCGCCCUGGAGUGGGGGAUAACUUCUCGAAAGAGAGGCUAAUACCGCAUACGCUCGGCCAUUCGGUUGGUCGAGUAAAGCUCCGGCGCUCCAGGAGGGGCCUGCGUCCGAUUAGCUAGUUGGUGAGGUAAUGGCUCACCAAGGCGAUGAUCGGUAGCUGGUCUGAGAGGACGAUCAGCCACACUGGCACUGACACACGGGCCAGACUCCUACGGGAGGCAGCAGUGAGGAAUAUUGGUCAAUGGGCGAAAGCCUGAACCAGCAACGCCGCGUGAGGGAUGAAGGCCUUCGGGUCGUAAACCUCUUUUCUGGGAGAAGAGACAAGGACGGUAUCCCAGGAAUAAGUCUCGGCUAACUACGUG
Molecule: ribosomal RNA, 476 nt
Filed under: uncultured bacterium
Lineage: Bacteria
Description: bacterial SSU rRNA
Rfam family: Bacterial small subunit ribosomal RNA
Source: RNAcentral